RNAcentral lists this ribosomal RNA (450 nucleotides) under uncultured bacterium. Its description in RNAcentral is "partial 16S ribosomal RNA". It matches the Rfam family "Bacterial small subunit ribosomal RNA", at positions 338 to 795 of the family's 1533-position model. The record is from RNAcentral.
CCUACGGGGGGCUGCAGUGGGGAAUAUUGGACAAUGGGCGCAAGCCUGAUCCAGCCAUACCGCGUGGGUGAAGAAGGCCUUCGGGUUGUAAAGCCCUUUUGUUGGGAAAGAAAUCCAGCCGGCUAAUACCUGGUUGGGAUGACGGUACCCAAAGAAUAAGCACCGGCUAACUUCGUGCCAGCAGCCGCGGUAAUACGAAGGGUGAAAGCGUUACUCGGAAUUACUGGGCGUAAUGAUUGCGGAGGUGGUUGAAAGCCCUGGGCUCAACCUGGGAACUGCAGUGGAUACUGGAUGACUAGAGUGUGGUAGAGGGUAGCGGAAUUCCUGGUGUAGCAGUGAAAUGCGUAGAGAUCAGGAGGAACAUCCAUGGCGAAGGCAGCUACCUGGACCAACACUGACACUGAGGCACGAAAGCGUGGGGGGCAAACAGGAUUAGAUACCCUUGUAGUC